UAGCUUGCUACUUGACCUAGCGGCGGACGGGUGAGUAAUGCUUAGGAAUCUGCCUAUUAGUGGGGGACAACAUCUCGAAAGGGAUGCUAAUACCGCAUACGUCCUACGGGAGAAAGCAGGGGACCUUCGGGCCUUGCGCUAAUAGAUGAGCCUAAGUCGGAUUAGCUAGUUGGUGGGGUAAAGGCCUACCAAGGCGACGAUCUGUAGCGGGUCUGAGAGGAUGAUCCGCCACACUGGGACUGAGACACGGCCCAGACUCCUACGGGAGGCAGCAGUGGGGAAUAUUGGACAAUGGGGGGAACCCUGAUCCAGCCAUGCCGCGUGUGUGAAGAAGGCCUUUUGGUUGUAAAGCACUUUAAGCGAGGAGGAGGCUACCGAGAUUAAUACUCUUGGAUAGUGGACGUUACUCGCAGAAUAAGCACCGGCUAACUCUGUGCCAGCAGCCGCGGUAAUACAGAGGGUGCAAGCGUUAAUCGGAUUUACUGGGCGUAAAGCGCGCGUAGGUGGCCAAUUAAGUCAAAUGUGAAAUCCCCGAGCUUAACUUGGGAAUUGCAUUCGAUACUGGUUGGCU
RNAcentral lists this ribosomal RNA (571 nucleotides) under Acinetobacter sp. 34AAV. RNAcentral's name for it is "bacterial SSU rRNA". It matches the Rfam family "Bacterial small subunit ribosomal RNA", at positions 76 to 642 of the family's 1533-position model. Lineage: Bacteria; Pseudomonadati; Pseudomonadota; Gammaproteobacteria; Moraxellales; Moraxellaceae. The record is from RNAcentral.